This 253-nucleotide ribosomal RNA is filed under the name uncultured bacterium. Its description in RNAcentral is "partial 16S ribosomal RNA". It matches the Rfam family "Bacterial small subunit ribosomal RNA", at positions 524 to 776 of the family's 1533-position model. The record is from RNAcentral.
UACGAAGGGGGCUAGCGUUGCUCGGAAUCACUGGGCGUAAAGGGUGCGUAGGCGGAUAGUUUAGUCAGAGGUGAAAGCCCAGGGCUCAACCUUGGAAUUGCCUUUGAUACUGGCUAUCUUGAGUACGGAAGAGGUAUGUGGAACUCCGAGUGUAGAGGUGAAAUUCGUAGAUAUUCGGAAGAACACCAGUGGCGAAGGCGACAUACUGGUCCGUUACUGACGCUGAGGCUCGAAAGCGUGGGGAGCAAACAGG